Molecule: ribosomal RNA, 685 nt
Filed under: uncultured Gammaproteobacteria bacterium
Lineage: Bacteria; Pseudomonadati; Pseudomonadota; Gammaproteobacteria
Description: bacterial SSU rRNA
Rfam family: Bacterial small subunit ribosomal RNA
Source: RNAcentral
CAGUCGAACGGUAACAGGCGAAAGCUUGCUUUUGCGCUGACGAGUGGCGGACGGGUGAGUAAUGCUUAGGAAUCUGCCCAGUAGCGGGGGACAACAACCGGAAACGGUUGCUAAUACCGCAUACGCCCUACGGGGGAAAGCAGGGGAUCUUCGGACCUUGCACUAUUGGAUGAGCCUAAGUCAGAUUAGUUUGUUGGUGGGGUAAUGGCCUACCAAGGCGACGAUCUGUAGCUGGUCUGAGAGGACGAUCAGCCACACUGGAACUGAGACACGGUCCAGACUCCUACGGGAGGCAGCAGUGGGGAAUAUUGCACAAUGGGCGCAAGCCUGAUGCAGCAAUGCCGCGUGUGUGAAGAAGGCCUGCGGGUUGUAAAGCACUUUCAGUAAGGAGGAAAAUCUCAAGGUUAAUAACCUUGAGCCUUGACGUUACUUACAGAAGAAGCACCGGCUAACUCCGUGCCAGCAGCCGCGGUAAUACGGAGGGUGCGAGCGUUAAUCGGAAUUACUGGGCGUAAAGCGUGCGUAGGCGGCAUGGUCAGUCGGAUGUGAAAGCCCCGGGCUUAACCUGGGAAUUGCAUUCGAAACUACCAAGCUAGAGUAUGCUAGAGGAAAGUGGAAUUCCCGGUGUAGCGGUGAAAUGCGUAGAUAUCGGGAGGAACAUCAAUGGCGAAGGCAGCUUUCUGGA